This 104-nucleotide non-coding RNA is filed under the name Carlito syrichta (Philippine tarsier). Lineage: Eukaryota; Metazoa; Chordata; Mammalia; Primates; Tarsiidae. The record is from RNAcentral.
GGAACUGGUUUGAGUACAGUGGUGUUUACAACCAAUUAAUUACAACCAGUUACAGAUAUCUUUGUUUCUUCUCCACUCACCCUGUUUCACUUGACAAGCCCUAC